AUUUUUGAGUGUAAACAGACAGACUUAAAAUCUGUCGGGUAAUCCGUGCGGGUUCGAGUCCCGCUCCGGGCACCA
This 75-nucleotide transfer RNA is filed under the name Caudoviricetes sp. Its description in RNAcentral is "tRNA-Leu". It matches the Rfam family "tRNA". Rfam says of the family: Transfer RNA (tRNA) molecules are approximately 80 nucleotides in length. Their secondary structure includes four short double-helical elements and three loops (D, anti-codon, and T loops). Further hydrogen bonds mediate the characteristic L-shaped molecular structure. tRNAs have two regions of fundamental functional importance: the anti-codon, which is responsible for specific mRNA codon recognition, and the 3' end, to which the tRNAs corresponding amino acid is attached (by aminoacyl-tRNA synthetases). tRNAs cope with the degeneracy of the genetic code in two manners: having more than one tRNA (with a specific anti-codon) for a particular amino acid; and 'wobble' base-pairing, i.e. permitting non-standard base-pairing at the 3rd anti-codon position. The record is from RNAcentral. Lineage: Duplodnaviria; Heunggongvirae; Uroviricota; Caudoviricetes.